Molecule: long non-coding RNA, 848 nt
Organism: Xenia sp. Carnegie-2017
Lineage: Eukaryota; Metazoa; Cnidaria; Anthozoa; Malacalcyonacea; Xeniidae
Exons: 4
Source: RefSeq, a predicted model, not a curated record
GCUGUUAUUUGGACAAGGAUUCACAAUGAACAUGGGUUGGAAUGAAGAGCUUGAGUUUUGUGAGGAAGAAUGGAAGAAAUUCGUGGCGGACAAUAUUGAAAUCGAUUCGAAAUGCAAUAACACUCAUACACGUUGUUGUGUUGAGGAGAAGAAAUAUCUUUUGGAGCGAUUUAAAAUGUUUAAUGAAAUAUGUCCACUUGAAGUUACAAAAGCAAAGUAAUAUGACGGGACAUGUGGAUGCAGCCCGAUUAUUUUGAACUUUACUUUUAAGUUAUUCUCCGAUGAUCGUUAUUAUCGUUAUUAUGGUUAUUUUCCAUCCGCAAAAUGGAAUGAACCAGAAAACUUCACGUGUUCACAUAAGUACAUAAAUGAAAAAAUAAAAAAGACAUAUCCUAAACCUUCUGGUAGAUUUGGAAUCGGACAACACAAAAUCCCUUACAAGUAUGCUUUAUACGGUGGAAAAAAUCACACCUGUUUUGUUGUCAUUAACGUGAACAAAAGAUAUGAUCAAGAUACGAAUGGAUUUUUCAUCAAACAUGUCCAGUCAGGAUUGUGUUCUUAUGGAUUUUUAGGACAUUCACAUAACGAGUCAUGGAGUUGUUUUGACGUGAGAGCUUAUCUUAAAAUUUUACUAUCUGGCUCAAUCAUGGAGGUGUAUGGAUUAAGUUGUCUUGUGAGACAUGGCAACAGAAUUGCUUUGAGGUUACCUUAUGGAAAUUUUAAUGUAGUAUGCGGAGCCAUCAAUGCCAUAACCCAAACGAUUUGGGGUGGUCUAUUAUUUUCACACUAUAAUAAAUGUAUAGCAGGAACUGGCGUCUUGAAACUUGUCAGUUGUAAAAAUGAAGAAG